Molecule: small nucleolar RNA, 73 nt
Filed under: Cavia porcellus (domestic guinea pig)
Lineage: Eukaryota; Metazoa; Chordata; Mammalia; Rodentia; Caviidae
Description: Small nucleolar RNA SNORD113/SNORD114 family (ENSCPOG00000029148.2)
Source: RNAcentral
UGGACACGUGAAGACCGCAGCCCGGGUGAGUGUCAGGUGAGGAAUAGUACGUGUCUGCAGCUCUGAGGUCCGA